RNAcentral lists this ribosomal RNA (2828 nucleotides) under Clostridioides difficile. RNAcentral describes it as "23S ribosomal RNA". The stretch from base 1191 to 2827 matches the Rfam family "Bacterial large subunit ribosomal RNA". Lineage: Bacteria; Bacillati; Bacillota; Clostridia; Peptostreptococcales; Peptostreptococcaceae. The record is from RNAcentral.
GCUCCAUAUAAAAUUAAUACGGAGGAUUUCCCGAGCGGCCAAAGGGGGCAGACUGUAAAUCUGUUGUCAUCGACUUCGGUGGUUCGAAUCCACCAUCCUCCACCAAAAAAAUGCGCGGAUGUGGCGGAAUUGGCAGACGCACUAGACUUAGGAUCUAGCGCCAUUGGCGUGGGGGUUCGACUCCCUUCAUCCGCACCAUUUUUAUUUAAUUUAAUAAACGAGCGGGAAUAGUUCAGUGGUAGAGCGCAACCUUGCCAAGGUUGAAGUCGCGAGUUCGAAUCUCGUUUCCCGCUCCAAAUUUUAUGUUUAUGUUGUAAUGUGGGUGCAUAGCUCAGCUGGAUAGAGCAACGCCCUUCUAAGGCGUGUGUCCGGGGUUCGAAUCCCUGUGCGCUCACCACAUAUAUUGGGGAUUAGCCAAGUCGGUAAGGCACAUGACUUUGACUCAUGUAUGCGUAGGUUCGAGUCCUGCAUCCCCAGCCAAAUGAUGUAUUACUAAGCUAUAUUUGAAUUAUUUUUAUUUUAAAUAUAGUUAGGUUCAAUUUUAGAAUAAGUUUAAGUAUCCGAAUGUGGAGAGGUGUCCGAGUGGUUUAAGGAGCUGGUCUUGAAAACCAGUGACUUCGAAAGGGGCCGUGGGUUCGAAUCCCACCCUCUCCGCCAAAUGCCCAGAUAGCUCAGUCGGUAGAGCAGGGGACUGAAAAUCCCCGUGUCGGUGGUUCGAUUCCGCCUCUGGGCACCAAAAUGUGGCGGUAUAGCUUAGUUGGCUAGAGCGUUCGGUUCAUACCCGAAAGGUCAUAGGUUCGACUCCUAUUACCGCUACUAAAAUUUAAUGUGGGCCAUUAGCUCAGUUGGUUAGAGCGCCCGGCUCAUAACCGGUAGGUCUGGGGUUCGAGUCCCUGAUGGCCCACCACAUUAAAUUAAUUAAUAUAAAUUCGAGGUGUAGCGCAGUUUGGUAGCGCACAUGGUUUGGGACCAUGGGGCCGGGGGUUCGAGUCCCUUCACCUCGACCAAUAUAAGGUGGGUAUAGCUCAGUUGGUUAGAGCGCCAGAUUGUGGCUCUGGAGGUCGUGAGUUCGACUCUCAUUAUCCACCCCAAUUCAUAUGGUCUAUUAGCUCAGUCGGUAGAGCACCUGACUUUUAAUCAGGGUGUCCCGCGUUCGAGUCGCGGAUAGAUCACCAAAAAGGUGGCGACAUAGCCAAGUGGUAAGGCAGUGGACUGCAACUCCUUGAUCCCCAGUUCGAAUCUGGGUGUCGCCUCCAAAAUAUUCCAAGGUAGCUCAACGGUGGAGCAACCGGCUGUUAACCGGUAGGCUGUGGGUUCGAGCCCCACCCUUGGAGCCAAAAAAGCCGAAGUGGCGGAACUGGCAGACGCACAGGACUUAAAAUCCUNUGACACAGUAGGAUAAGCUAAGCACACUGUUGGUUAUGUGUGCCCAAGCAUUGAGGCAGUCAAAGUAGGCAAAUCCGCUUUGAUAAUGCUGGGAUGUGAUGGGGAGCGAAAUUUAGUAGCGAAGUAGCUGAUUUCACACUGUCAAGAAAAGUCUCUAUCGAGGUUAAAGGUACCCGUACCGCAAACCGACACAGGUGGGUGAGGAGAGUAUCCUAAGGCCAGCGAGAGAACUGUUGUUAAGGAACUCGGCAAAAUGACCCCGUAACUUAGGGAUAAGGGGUGCCACCAUCAGGUGGCCGCAGAGAAUAGGCCCAAGCGACUGUUUACCAAAAACAUAGGUUUCUGCUAAGUCGCAAGACGAUGUAUAGGAGCUGACGCCUGCCCGGUGCUGGAAGGUUAAGGGGAUCUGUUAGAGCAAUCGAAGCAGUGAACUUAAGCCCCAGUAAACGGCGGCCGUAACUAUAACGGUCCUAAGGUAGCGAAAUUCCUUGUCGGGUAAGUUCCGACCCGCACGAAAGGCGUAACGAUUUGGGCACUGUCUCAACAACAGACUCGGUGAAAUUGUAAUUCCGGUGAAGAUGCCGGAUACCUGCGACAGGACGGAAAGACCCCAUGGAGCUUUACUGUAGCUUGACAUUGGGUCUUGGUACUACAUGUACAGGAUAGGUGGGAGGCUUUGAAACCAGGACGCCAGUUUUGGCGGAGCCAUCCUUGGGAUACCACCCUUGUAGUACUGGGACUCUAACCAUAGGCCAUGAAUCUGGUCUUGGGACACUGUCAGGUGGGCAGUUUGACUGGGGCGGUCGCCUCCCAAAAGGUAACGGAGGCGCUCAAAGGUUCUCUCAGUACGGUCGGAAAUCGUACGUAGAGUGUAAAGGCAAAAGAGAGCUUGAUUGCAAGACAUACAGGUCGAGCAAGGAUGAAAAUCGGACUUAGUGAUCCGGUGGUUCUGCGUGGAAGGGCCAUCGCUCAACGGAUAAAAGCUACCCUGGGGAUAACAGGCUUAUCUCCCCCAAGAGUCCACAUCGACGGGGAGGUUUGGCACCUCGAUGUCGGCUCAUCACAUCCUGGGGCUGUAGUAGGUCCCAAGGGUUGGGCUGUUCGCCCAUUAAAGUGGUACGCGAGCUGGGUUCAGAACGUCGUGAGACAGUUCGGUCCCUAUCCGUCGCAGGCGUAGGAAAUUUGAGAAGACCUGUCCUUAGUACGAGAGGACCGGGAUGGACGUACCUCUGGUGUACCAGUUGUCCUGCCAAGGGCAUGGCUGGGUAGCUAUGUACGGAAUGGAUAAGCGCUGAAAGCAUCUAAGCGCGAAGCCAACUUCAAGAUAAGAUUUCCCACCGCAAGGGUAAGACCCCAGAAAGACUAUCUGGUUGAUAGGUCGAAGGUGUAAGUGCAGCAAUGUAUUUAGCUUAUCGAUACUAAUAGGUCGAGGACUUGACCAA